UUAGGUGAGCUGUGAUUGACAGCUACUUUCACCUAUCAGGAAGGGGCAGUCCCUUUUUAAGCACUGAUUGGCUGCUGCCCGGAAUGCGUCAUGUCCUGUGUUUCCCCCGGGUGUUUGCAGCAAUAGCGACAGCGUGUUUGUCCAGCGUACUGGUGCCCUUGUGCUGCUGAUGGCUUAAAUGACUGUGCACCCUCAGUUGGCUGUGGUUGACCUGUUGUAGGUUAAACGGUGCUGUAAAAGACGUUAAUGUGUCUGGGGUGAUGCCACUGGGCGGGUUCUCCCUUUUGCUCUACAUUAUGUUUACCUCUUGAGUGUUCUCGUGCGGCUGUCGCACCGCGGUAAAACCGACAUCAUCAUAUUCCUCGCAGUACAAUGGAUUGUACACUGUCUGGUUCCUGCCUUUAGUGUUAUAUAUCUUGGAGUGGAGGGUUAUCUAGUCACUACCAAAGUCAACCAAGACAACCGAUUUUAGUGCGUUGGAGCUGGUUUUUUGGACUUUGGUUGCCUGUGUAGCUCCACCUGCCAUUUAUUUUGUGUUUUCUUUGCUUUCAGUAAUUCUUGUCAAAUUGUUGUCUGAAUAUUUAUUUUGUUUGAUAUCCUUUCAGGAGCUGGGGUCCCCCUGGGUGAAAGAGCUUAUGGUGGUGGUGGUACUGCUUCAACAUUUGCAGUGUUACACAUUUUUGAAGUGCAUAAGUGUGUGUUUUUGAGUUCACGGUUUGGUGUGAGUGUGUGCCUUUGGACAACUUGUGCCAGUGAUCACUCGGGUGGGUAACCUCAGCUCUGUAGGUUGGUGUAUUGUUUUAAUUAGUUUAUUAUCUUUCUUCCUUUUCACGCACUGCAUUUUAGCAGUGAGGACUGUUAAACCUUAAGUUGUGUUGUGUUUUUGUAUAAUUUUGUGAUUUGUGAUGUUUUAUGUCAUUUUGUUUUAUGUAUUUUGCUGCAGACAGAUCUGCUUUGAUUAAUGUCAUUUUCUGUCUAUUUCACACCUAGCUCAUUGUCAUGGGCAACGAAUAUUGUGAAAUAAAAUCUAUAUUUUUGUAUUAUACCCACGUUUUCUGCUUACUUCACUUUUAAGAGGAACGAACCUGUGUGCCUUACCGCCUUUCUGGGUGUAAGGAAUAUUUCCCUGGGUGUAAGUCCCGGGGUGGCGUAGUCGGAAUUUUAUGCAAAACCUUUGCUUUUGCCAUGAAGCUAACUUCUCACCCCCUCGU
Long non-coding RNA from Paramisgurnus dabryanus, 1211 nucleotides. RefSeq lists it as uncharacterized. Lineage: Eukaryota; Metazoa; Chordata; Actinopteri; Cypriniformes; Cobitidae. The record is from RefSeq and is a predicted model, not a curated record.